Molecule: ribosomal RNA, 522 nt
Filed under: uncultured bacterium
Lineage: Bacteria
Description: bacterial SSU rRNA
Rfam family: Bacterial small subunit ribosomal RNA
Source: RNAcentral
CGAUGCCUUACACAUGCAAGUCGAACGGCAGCACGGACUUCGGUCUGGUGGCGAGUGGCGAACGGGUGAGUAAUGUAUCGGAACGUACCUUUCAGUGGGGGAUAACGUAGCGAAAGUUACGCUAAUACCGCAUAUUCUGUGAGCAGGAAAGCAGGGGAUCGCAAGACCUUGCGCUGAUUGAGCGGCCGAUAUCAGAUUAGCUAGUUGGUGGGGUAAAGGCCUACCAAGGCUACGAUCUGUAGCGGGUCUGAGAGGAUGAUCCGCCACACUGGAACUGAGACACGGUCCAGACUCCUACGGGAGGCAGCAGUGGGGAAUUUUGGACAAUGGGGGCAACCCUGAUCCAGCCAUGCCGCGUGAGUGAAGAAGGCCUUCGGGUUGUAAAGCUCUUUCGGCCGGGAAGAAAUCGCAUAGGCUAAUACCCUGUGUGGAUGACGGUACCGGAAUAAGAAGCACCGGCUAACUACGUGCCAGCAGCCGCGGUAAUACGUAGGGUGCGAGCGUUAAUCGGAAUUACUGGGC